UCUUUCUUUGCUGGCGACCGGCGCACGGGUGAGUAACACGUAUCCAACCUGUCCUUUACUCGGGGACAGCCUUUCGAAAGAAAGAUUAAUACCCGAUAGUAUAAUGAUUCCGCAUGGUUUCAUUAUUAAAGGAUUCCGGUAAAGGAUGGGGAUGCGUUCCAUUAGGUUGUUGGUGAGGUAACGGCUCACCAAGCCUUCGAUGGAUAGGGGUUCUGAGAGGAAGGUCCCCCACAUUGGAACUGAGACACGGUCCAA
This 255-nucleotide ribosomal RNA is filed under the name uncultured bacterium. Its description in RNAcentral is "partial 16S ribosomal RNA". It matches the Rfam family "Bacterial small subunit ribosomal RNA", at positions 78 to 334 of the family's 1533-position model. The record is from RNAcentral.